GAUAAACGCUGACAGAAUGCUUAACACAUGCAAGUCGAUGAUGGGAGCUAGCUUGCUAGAAGAAGUCAUGGCGGACGGGUGAGUAACGUGUAAAGAACUUACCAUAUAGACUGGGAUAACAGAGGGAAACUUCUGAUAAUACUGGAUAAGUUAGUAGUAGCAUUACUAAGUAAUGAAAGGUAGCAAUACGCUAUAUGAGGGCUUUGCAUCCUAUUAGCUAGUUGGUGGGGUAAAAGCCUACCAAGGCGAUGAUAGGUAGCCGGCCUGAGAGGGUGGACAGCCACAAGGGGACUGAGAUACGGCCCUUACUCCUACGGGAGGCAGCAGUGGGGAAUAUUGGACAAUGGAGGCAACUCUGAUCCAGCAAUUCUGUGUGUGUGAAGAAGGUUUUAGGACUGUAAAACACUUUUAGUAGGGAAGAAAGAAAUGACGGUACCUACAGAAGAAGCGACGGCUAAAUACGUG
RNAcentral lists this ribosomal RNA (465 nucleotides) under uncultured bacterium. RNAcentral describes it as "partial 16S ribosomal RNA". It matches the Rfam family "Bacterial small subunit ribosomal RNA", at positions 28 to 507 of the family's 1533-position model. The record is from RNAcentral.